Molecule: ribosomal RNA, 434 nt
Filed under: uncultured Alphaproteobacteria bacterium
Lineage: Bacteria; Pseudomonadati; Pseudomonadota; Alphaproteobacteria
Description: bacterial SSU rRNA
Rfam family: Bacterial small subunit ribosomal RNA
Source: RNAcentral
CGGUGGAGCAUGUGGUUCAAUUCGAAGCAACGCGCAGAACCUUACCAACCUUUGACAUGUCCCGAUGAGCAACAGGGAUGACUUAGGCGGGAACGGGUGUGACGAGCGCAACCCUCGCCCUUAGUUGCCAUCGGGAUGUCAAGUCUCAUGGCCCUUACAGGUUGGCUACAUACAUGGCGGUGACAUGGGACGCAAUGGGGCAACCCUGCGCAUCUCAAAAAGCCGGUCUCAGUUCGGAUUGCUCUGCAACUCGAGAGCAUGAAGUUGGAAUCGCUAGUAAUCGAGAUCAGCACGCUGCGGUGAAUACGUUCCCGGGCCUUGUACACACCGCCGUCACACCAUGGGAGUUGGUUUUACCUGAAGGCGGUGCGCUAACCCGCAAGGGAGGCAGCCGACCACGUAGGAUCAGCGACUGGGGUGAAGUCGUACAAGGU